CCAGACUCCUACGGGAGGCAGCAGUGAGGAAUAUUGGUCAAUGGGUGCGAGCCUGAACCAGCCAAGUCGCGUGAGGGAAGACGGUCCUAUGGAUUGUAAACCUCUUUUGUCGGGGAGCAAAGAGAGUCACGUGUGGCUCAUUGAGAGUACCCGAAGAAAAAGCAUCGGCUAACUCCGUGCCAGCAGCCGCGGUAAUACGGAGGAUGCGAGCGUUAUCCGGAUUUAUUGGGUUUAAAGGGUGCGUAGGCGGACAGUCAAGUCAGCGGUAAAAAUGCGGUGCUCAACGCCGUACAGCCGUUGAAACUGGCAGUCUUGAGUGGGCGAGAAGUAUGCGGAAUGCGUGGUGUAGCGGUGAAAUGCAUAGAUAUCACGCAGAACUCCGAUUGCGAAGGCAGCAUACCGGCGCCCUACUGACGCUGAGGCACGAAAGCGUGGGGAUCGAACAGGAUUAGAUACCCGCGUA
RNAcentral lists this ribosomal RNA (463 nucleotides) under uncultured bacterium. Its description in RNAcentral is "bacterial SSU rRNA". It matches the Rfam family "Bacterial small subunit ribosomal RNA", at positions 331 to 792 of the family's 1533-position model. The record is from RNAcentral.